Molecule: microRNA precursor, 59 nt
Filed under: Xenopus tropicalis (tropical clawed frog)
Lineage: Eukaryota; Metazoa; Chordata; Amphibia; Anura; Pipidae
Description: Xtr-Mir-187_pre stem-loop
Rfam family: mir-187 microRNA precursor family
Source: RNAcentral
GGUUACAACACAGGACAUGGGAGCUUACUUGGAACCCUCGUGUCUUGUGUUGCAGCCAG